GAUGAACGCUAGCGGCAGGCUUAACACAUGCAAGUCGAGGGGUAACAUAAGUGCUUGCACUUGAUGACGACCGGCGCACGGGUGCGUAACGCGUAUAGAACCUACCUUAUAGUAAGGGAUAGCCCAGAGAAAUUUGGAUUAAUACCUUAUAGUAUUAUUGAUUGGCAUCGAUUAAUAAUUAAAGAUUUAUUGCUAUAAGAUGGCUAUGCGUUCUAUUAGCUAGUUGGUAUGGUAACGGCAUACCAAGGCUACGAUAGAUAGGGGUCCUGAGAGGGAGAUCCCCCACACUGGUACUGAGACACGGACCAGACUCCUACGGGAGGCAGCAGUGAGGAAUAUUGGACAAUGGAGGCAACUCUGAUCCAGCCAUGCCGCGUGUAGGAAGACUGCCCUAUGGGUUGUAAACUACUUUUAUA
RNAcentral lists this ribosomal RNA (416 nucleotides) under Cytophaga sp. A38. Its description in RNAcentral is "bacterial SSU rRNA". It matches the Rfam family "Bacterial small subunit ribosomal RNA", at positions 28 to 440 of the family's 1533-position model. Lineage: Bacteria; Pseudomonadati; Bacteroidota; Cytophagia; Cytophagales; Cytophagaceae. The record is from RNAcentral.